Molecule: non-coding RNA, 349 nt
Organism: Pelobates cultripes (western spadefoot toad)
Lineage: Eukaryota; Metazoa; Chordata; Amphibia; Anura; Pelobatidae
Source: the annotation of a GenBank genome assembly
CCUGAAUACGUCAGCAGCUGGGGUUGGUGCCACACAGGGAUUCUCAUCCAGGAUGACCUCUGGGGGACAAUAUAUGUGUGCAGACUUUUUCUCUAUUAAUUCCUUGAGCUCAUCUUUCCUGUAAACCAACAGGCCAUAAUCUGAAAGCAGAUUGCAUAAUAUAAGGAUAUCUCCUGUUUGUCUUGAGGAUAUAAUUCUUAUCCUGAUUUGACCAAUUAAUGAAUACCGGAAAUUUUGCAAUUCCAUCGAUCAUCUAUGACACAAUUCCUUGAGGUCAACCUGCCAUGGUAGAUUUUAUGAUGAUGCAGAUAAGUCAUUCCCCGAGCAAUGUCUGUUGCGAAUGAUAAUC